RNAcentral lists this ribosomal RNA (253 nucleotides) under uncultured bacterium. Its description in RNAcentral is "partial 16S ribosomal RNA". It matches the Rfam family "Bacterial small subunit ribosomal RNA", at positions 524 to 776 of the family's 1533-position model. The record is from RNAcentral.
UACGGAGGGGGCUAGCGUUGUUCGGAAUUACUGGGCGUAAAGCGUGCGCAGGCGGCUUCGCAAGUCAGACGUGAAAUCCCCGGGCUUAACCUGGGAAUGGCGUUUGAAACUACGGAGCUGGAGUGUGGCAGAGGGAGGUAGAAUUCCACGUGUAGCGGUGAAAUGCGUAGAUAUGUGGAGGAAUACCGAUGGCGAAGGCAGCCUCCUGGGCCAACACUGACGCUCAUGCACGAAAGCGUGGGGAGCAAACAGG